Molecule: ribosomal RNA, 253 nt
Filed under: uncultured bacterium
Lineage: Bacteria
Description: partial 16S ribosomal RNA
Rfam family: Bacterial small subunit ribosomal RNA
Source: RNAcentral
UACAGAGGGUGCAAGCGUUAAUCGGAAUGACUGGGCGUAAAGGGUGCGUAGGUGGUUAAUUAAGUUUCAUGUGAAAGCCCCGGGCUCAACCUGGGAAUGGCAUGGAAAACUGAAUAGCUUGAGUAGAGGAGAGGUGAGUGGAAUUUCCGGUGUAGCAGUGAAAUGCGUAGAGAUCGGGAGGAACAUCAGUGGCGAAGGCGACUCACUGGACUCAUACUGACACUGAAGCACGAAAGCGUGGGGAGCAAACAGG